AUGGCAUGUUUCUGUUUUCCAAGAGGUCUUUGCGAUAGUAUCACAUCGAUCAUUCGUCAGUUCUGUUGGGGCUCUAAGCAAGGGAAGAGGAAGCCAAGCUGGGUAGCAUGGGAUACCAUGACCUUGCCGAAGCACUUAGGAGGUUUGGGUUUCGACUUGGAAAUUUUCAAUCUUGCAUUGUUAGCAAGGCAGGCAUGGCGCACACUCACAGACAGUACAUCUCUCAACGCUCGGAUCCUCAAGGCACUGUAUUUUCCGGAUUGUUCUCUACUCCAGGCCGAACUAGAAGCCCACCCAUCAUAGAUAUGGAGGGCGAUACUGGACGGGCGUGAUAUCUUAGCACAAGGUUUGGUGCGCAGAAUAGGAGAUGGUGCAACCACUGACAUUUGGCAACAUAACUGGAUACCG
This 408-nucleotide ribosomal RNA is filed under the name Triticum aestivum (bread wheat). Its description in RNAcentral is "partial small subunit ribosomal RNA". Lineage: Eukaryota; Viridiplantae; Streptophyta; Magnoliopsida; Poales; Poaceae. The record is from RNAcentral.